This 513-nucleotide ribosomal RNA is filed under the name uncultured bacterium. RNAcentral describes it as "partial 16S ribosomal RNA". It matches the Rfam family "Bacterial small subunit ribosomal RNA", at positions 28 to 523 of the family's 1533-position model. The record is from RNAcentral.
GACGAACGCUGGCGGCAUGCCUAAUACAUGCAAGUCGAGCGAACAGAUGAAGUGCUUGCACUUCUGACGUUAGCGGCGAACGGGUGAGUAACACGUAAGGAAUCUACCUAUAAGCGGGGGAUAACAUUCGGAAACGGGUGCUAAUACCGCAUAAUAUCUUCUUCCGCAUGGAAGAAGAUUGAAAGACGGCUCUGCUGUCACUUAUAGAUGACCUUGCGGUGCAUUAGUUAGUUGGGGGGGUAACGGCCUACCAAGACGAUGAUGCAUAGCCGACCUGAGAGGGUGAUCGGCCACAUUGGGACUGAGACACGGCCCAAACUCCUACGGGAGGCAGCAGUAGGGAAUCUUCCGCAAUGGGCGAAAGCCUGACGGAGCAAUGCCGCGUGAGUGAAGAAGGCCUUUGGGUCGUAAAACUCUGUUAUAAGAGAAGAACAAAUUGUAGAGUAACUGCUACAGUCUUGACGGUAUCUUAUCAGAAAGCCACGGCUAACUACGUGCCAGCCGCCGCAGUAA